ACCCUCUCACCAAACCCACGUCCAACUGACCAUGAACUUCACUGUAACUGUAAGACCGACAAAAGAAUCGUUUCACCCAAAUUGCAGCAUGAAAACACAUGUAUUCGUUUGGAAUUUUUUCCUUAUAUUUUUACCCAAAUCAUUUCACACAAAUCUCAUGUACUUUAGGUCUUUAUAUCUGUUCUUCAGUAAGUGUUGCAACCAAAUGUACUCUUUUUUUUUAUAGAUAAAAAGAUAGAUUACUGACAAAAGGUUGCUAGGGUAUCAUCCUCCCACACUUGAGGACUUUGAGAUCUUACACCAACUAGGCAUAGUCUGUGUAGAUCAGAUGAGGUACCAAGCUUAAUAGUUUUACAUAGAACUUGUUCAAAAGAGUUUAGGCUCAAAAUUAAAUUAUCUAGUCUUUCAUUAGUCCUCCAGCUUGUGUUCCUGGCUCCGCCUUGCAUAACUUUGAUGAUGUUUUUGUUACUUCCCAAUAAGUUGAAAACUCUGCAAUUGGGUUGAGAGGCCUAAUCCAGAGCUUCUUGAGCAGCUAGGCAUUCUCCCUCUUCUCUUCCAUGAACCUUGAUCCCUCUGGUUUUCCUGCCAAUGGUGUCUCCUGCUGGACCUGAUCGUUCUUGGUUUCCAAAUGUACUCUGAUCUAAUCAAGGAGGCUCCUAUUCCAGCAUCAGCAGAAACGAGCACCAAGAAAGCUGCAAAAAAAUUCAGCAGUCUUGAGAGAGGAAAAAGUGUUGAAGUAACAAUACCGGAUGAGGUACUGGACCCUUUAGCUGAGAAGCUCCUACAACAACGGUAAGUUCCUUUAUCGUUCCAGCCACAAUGAAGAAACAGGUCCACGUUAGGCAUUGUAUUAGCCCUUUCUUGUCCUCACUAAAUGUGAGACUAUGUGUUUGUGCAACGAAAAUUAUGUGUCGGUUGACCACUUGAGCAGCAGAUGUUGACUCACUUUGUUUAAAUGCAAUCUGUUCAAUAUGGUAAUUCUAAUUGCUCAUGAAGAGAAAGAGUGUAUUUCGACGCAUGUAUCAUGUUUAGAACUACUUUUAAGUACUCAUUUUCAUUUUCAUUUUCA
Long non-coding RNA from Papaver somniferum (opium poppy), 1069 nucleotides. RefSeq lists it as uncharacterized. The record is from RefSeq and is a predicted model, not a curated record. NCBI's taxonomy places the organism in Eukaryota, Viridiplantae, Streptophyta, Magnoliopsida, Ranunculales, Papaveraceae. The transcript is spliced from 2 exons.